GACGAACGCUGGCGGCGUGCCUAAUACAUGCAAGUAGAACGCUGAAGGAGGAGCUUGCUUCUCUGGAUGAGUUGCGAACGGGUGAGUAACGCGUAGGUAACCUGCCUGGUAGCGGGGGAUAACUAUUGGAAACGAUAGCUAAUACCGCAUAAUAUUGACUAUUGCAUGAUAGUCAGUUGAAAGGUGCAACUGCACCACUACCAGAUGGACCUGCGUUGUAUUAGCUAGUUGGUGGGGUAACGGCUCACCAAGGCGACGAUACAUAGCCGACCUGAGAGGGUGAUCGGCCACACUGGGACUGAGACACGGCCCAGACUCCUACGGGAGGCAGCAGUAGGGAAUCUUCGGCAAUGGACGGAAGUCUGACCGAGCAACGCCGCGUGAGUGAAGGAGGUUUUCGGAUCGUAAAGCUCUGUUGUAAGAGAAGAACGAGUGUGAGAGUGGAAAGCUCACACUGUGACGGUAGCUUACCAGAAAGGGACGGCUAACUACGUG
This 495-nucleotide ribosomal RNA is filed under the name uncultured bacterium. Its description in RNAcentral is "partial 16S ribosomal RNA". It matches the Rfam family "Bacterial small subunit ribosomal RNA", at positions 28 to 507 of the family's 1533-position model. The record is from RNAcentral.